CCUACGGGAGGCUGCAGUGGGGAAUAUUGGACAAUGGGGGGAACCCUGAUCCAGCCAUGCCGCGUGUGUGAAGAAGGCCCUCGGGUUGUAAAGCACUUUCAGUGAGGAAGAACGCCUGGUGGUUAAUACCCAUCAGGAAAGACAUCACUCACAGAAGAAGCACCGGCUAACUCCGUGCCAGCAGCCGCGGUAAUACGGAGGGUGCGAGCGUUAAUCGGAAUUACUGGGCGUAAAGCGCGCGUAGGUGGCUUGAUAGGCCGGUUGUGAAAGCCCCGGGCUCAACCUGGGAACGGCAUCCGGAACUGUCAAGCUAGAGUGCAGGAGAGGAAGGUAGAAUUCCCGGUGUAGCGGUGAAAUGCGUAGAGAUCGGGAGGAAUACCAGUGGCGAAGGCGGCCUUCUGGACUGACACUGACACUGAGGUGCGAAAGCGUGGGUAGCAAACAGGAUUAGAUACCCCAGUAGUC
Molecule: ribosomal RNA, 465 nt
Filed under: Vreelandella stevensii
Lineage: Bacteria; Pseudomonadati; Pseudomonadota; Gammaproteobacteria; Oceanospirillales; Halomonadaceae
Description: partial 16S ribosomal RNA
Rfam family: Bacterial small subunit ribosomal RNA
Source: RNAcentral